Microplitis mediator is the source of this 803-nucleotide long non-coding RNA. RefSeq lists it as uncharacterized. The record is from RefSeq and is a predicted model, not a curated record. NCBI's taxonomy places the organism in Eukaryota, Metazoa, Arthropoda, Insecta, Hymenoptera, Braconidae. The transcript is spliced from 3 exons.
UACUGAGAACUUUGACAUCUAUCGCGUUAACCAUUACCUUUGUAUUAAAUUUAGUAUUUUCCCUCAAUUAUUUUCCUUGCUAUGAAAUAUUCGAAUGACGUUGACGGGCGUCUUAAUUGGUGCCGUCACUUCACAUCAAAAUCAUCCGGGUUUGUGGAUAUAGUGUUGCUACGGAAACUUCGAUUGCUUUGUUACUAUAACUUAUUAUUAGCGAAAAUAUUGCAAUGGCUUAUACACUGAAAGGUUUCGCCAGUGAUGUUUGAAGUACUUUGUAAUAACAGAAGCAUGAUUUCGAUAUUAAAUGUUUGAUAGUAUUCAAUUUACUUUCUUUACCUUCAAUAUUCAUUUGUUUUGUUUAAGGACUCAAUCGAUCAAUCAAAAGUACUUAAGAUAAAGUUAUGUACAAAAAUGGGCAACGAAAAUAUUGAAAUUGAAUUUCUUAGAAAUCAUAAAAAAAAAUUCAAUGAAAGAGUAUCAUUUAUGCGUAGCAAUUUGGAAUCAGCAGAAUUUUCAUUGCAUUGACAAAAGCAUCGUAAAAUAUGAGCCAGAUGUUUUCAUCAUCUUAAAAGAAAAUAUCAAAAGUGUCAAUCAACGGUAGUGAUGAUAAAAUAUUAGGGAUUUUUUACCAUUCCAAAAUUUUCAAUAGACAAUUCCAUCAUUUUGCCAGCAGUCAAUUUACAAGGUGUCUGACUUCUCAUUGUCAUCAAAAGUGUCAAUUUUUGUGAGUUUUUCGAAAUAUUGUACCACUUCAUGUUAGCUCUAAGUAAAAAUUGAUAAGUUAUAUUAUGAAAUUUUGGAAAAUU